GACGCGAAGGCGUCACCGGGCGCGCCGGGUCAGAUGCAAAAAGCAUCCGCCCCGGAACCGGUUACCAGUGCGAAGGGCCGGGAGGCUGGGCAGUCCUGGUGCCCGCCUUGGCCUAGCCCCGGCCCCGGGACGGAAGGGGGCCUCUGGGGUGGCAGCCUGGGCCCAGUAGAGCUUUGCAUCUCUUGGAUAUCUUUCCCGGGCGCAGAAGCUGCGGGGCUUAGGGAGUCGCCAUUGCGCUGGAAAGUCCUCCCGCCCACGGAGACCCCAGCAAACUCCGAGUGUCACACAGUCGCCUCUGGCGACCCGUGCGGGCCGGAGCCGUUCGCGCACAGGCAGGGCGGGUGCUGAGCGUGGAAACGGGGCUGGAAUUGGCCGAGCCAUGCCUUUCCGGGAUGCCCACCGCCAGUCAAAGGGUUGGGGGUGGUCUCUGCACCUUAAGUACUAACCUGCCGCCCACGCGCCUCCUGACCACAGCACCCCGUCGGCUUUCUAAUUCUGUGAGCUGCCCUCGUGGGCGUGGCCUCCCUGUGGAGCUCCCCAUGUGCCUCCCCUUGGUCCAGCCUGCAGCUAGGAAGUGGGUCACAGCGACGGGGCUGGGCUGGGCCAGGCCAGGCUCCGGGAGAUGUGGAAUUGGCGAAACAACUGCCCCAGUAGUAUCCUCCGCCUAGGACUCCAAGAGGUGGCGAAUUGGGGCACUACGCCCGGGAACCAGGGUGGCAGGGCUAGAUGUCCUCUCACCAGACUGCCCAGUGAAGGUGCUGUCACUUUGAUGAAUUAUCAAGGCUUUGUAGUGGGUCUUCUACUGGACAAAGGACAAACUGGAGACUCCCUGGAUCAAAUGUGUUGGUGAGGCACUGAAUCUGAUUGCUGAAAGGUGAUUCAGCUGCAAGUUAGGCAUCAGUUUAGGGUUUUCUAGGCUUGGCAUCUAAAGGGAGUGCCUGCUGUAGCUGAAACCUCAUAGGCCUUCUCUUCCUUCCGAAUUGUUUUCAAGGCCUUGGGGGUACAGAGACUUAGAGAAAAUACAUAGUUGUGCCUCAGACUGAUGGGCCUCAUCUGUUUAAUGGAGAAACACCAAGCACACUCAGUCUGGGCGGAAUUUUAGAGCUCCAUAGUAUAACCACUAUCUAGCUACAUGUGGCAAUUGAGCAUUUGAAAUGUGGCUAGACUGAAUUGAAAUGUGCUGUAUAAAAUAUACACUUAAUUUCAAAGACAAUAUUUUUAAAAUGUAAAAUAUUUCAGUAAUUUAAAAAUAUGGUUUAAAUAUUUUAGAUAUGUUGGGUUAAAUAAAAUAUAUUAGUAAAAUAUUUCACUUGUUUUUUGACCUCUUAAAUGUGGCUGCUAGAAAAUGUUAUAGUGCUGUCAGGAAGUGCUGUUCUGGAAUACAGAAUGUGGCUGCCGUGAGUGGAGUGUGACUAUGAGAUAGUCGCCUGACUGGAGACAAUGAAGCCUCAGGCCAAGGUAAGAGGGCUGACAAGGAAGAACUGGCACAACUAGAGCCGAAUGUUUGGGGGAGGUAUAUGUCUGCCAAAAAAUGAAUAUAAUUUCAGGUGACUCAAUAGAAGUGGAGGGAUCAGUUUCUCUUGUUCUGCCCUGCUCUUAUCUAGGUAACUCUUACUUUUCCUUUAGGUCAGGGUUCUUCUAAGCCAGAAAACCUUCACUGACUUAAGUGCACUCCUUUCUAUGUUUGCAUAGAUCUCUUUCUUAACUUUACCCCAUUAUAGUAAAAUUAUGUUUUCACAUUUGCCUUUAUACCCAAACCUCCACCAAAAUAUUGUGAGCUCUCUGAGGGUAAGGACUUUGUCUUAUUAUUGUUAUACCUGGAGACAGAUUAAAACAAUAUGAUGUUUGUGGGGACCAGGGAAAAGGGGAAUGGGAGAGGCUCCUCUGGUUAGUCUAAAAGAAAAGUAUCAGGCACCUACUUGAAUCCUCAUUUGAUUUCUUUCUGACCAUGAGAGGGGAUGCUGAGAUGCCCAAAGAUGUGCAAAUGGCGGGAUCCGGCGCACCAUAGUAGGCAGGGGAGUGAAGAUUUCUCACCUCGGGUCUUCCUAGACCUUCAGGUCACACGGGAAUUGUUCUGUUUAUAGACGGCGCUGGCCUUAGUACUCACUCUCCCUCUAUUUUCCUUGCUUCCUUAUAACUAGGUUUCCCUACUCACUUCCUCAAAAAGAGUGAUGUAGGUCCACGUGUACCCUCCCAACUGGCCUGGGUCCUCUCCCUUCUUUGUAAGGCCUGAAAAAUUCCCUGGUGGGGGAUGGUUAGAAAAGGAAGAGGAACCUUCUUUGUAAGUGUGCAAGUCAGAAGGGGAGGGAGAAAAGUGACAAUUUAUAUAUCUGGGACAAAUAUAUCUUGGACCCAGGUUUUGCCACCUGUCUGCAUCCCCCCAUGCCCUUUCCCCUCCAGUGAUCAAAUAGCUCUCUGGAUGCCCCUUAAUUCUUCCACCCCAUCCAUUCUGAUCUACCCAGCACUUGCCUAGGCAACACCAGUCCAGGAGAACAAAUGGAGUUAUGCACAACAUUGGUGAUUUCCUUGUAUUGUGGCUCCAGUGGUUAUGGCUGGGGACACACACAUCCUUCCAGUUAUUUCUGAGCAUACUCUGGAAACGUCUUAUGAGCCCUCUUCUUUAUUGUGUGCACCCACUAGGAUGCUCCCUCCUACUCAGCCCUGUUUAGUGGGAUUUUUCAGCCCACUGUAAAGCCUACUGCUGCCUGUAAAGCCACCUAAGUGCAUCACUUGCUGGUGUUCACCAUGAUAACAACAAUUUAUGGGGACAGAAUAUGUUUCUAGAGCUGCUGGUGCCACUGCUGAUGUUACUGGGUUCCCUGAAAUAAAACACCACAGUGCAGGUGAGUACCAAAGUGGGGAGAAUUUUUAGUUCCUUUUAGAGGUGCUAAAUCAAUAUUGUUGAUUUCCCAGUACCUUAGAAUAUUUAAUGAAAACAGGUCAGGUGCAGUGGCUCACGCCUGUAAUCCCAGCACUUUGGGAGGCCAAGGCAGGUAGAUCACUUGAGGUCAGGAGUUCAAGAACAGCCUGGCCAACAUGGUGAAACCCCAUCUCUACUAAAAAUACAAAAAUUAGCAGGGCGUGGUGGCAGGCACCUGUAAUCCCAGCUACUCCGGAAGCUGAGGCACCAGAAUCGCUUGAACUCAGGAGGCGGAGGUUGUAGUGAGUCGAGAUCAUGCCACUGCACUCCAGCCUGGGCGCAUGGUGGCUCAUGCCUAUAAUCCCAGCACUUUGGGAGGCUGAGGCAGUCAGAUCACUUGAGGUCAGGAGUUCAAGAACAGCCUGACCAACAUGGUGAAACCCCAUCUCUACUAAAAAUAGAAAAAGUUAGCCAGGCGUGGUGGCAGGCGCCUGUAAUCCCAGCUACUCAGGAGGCUGAGGCAUAAGAAUCCUUGAACCCAGGAGGCGGAGGUUGCAGUGAGCUGAGAUUGCACCAUUGCACUCCAGCCUGGGCAACAAUAGCGAAACUCCGUCUCAAAACAAACAAACAAACAAAACAAAAAAACUUAAUGAAUACAGUCCCUCCUAAGAUUUUCAAAUAAAUGAAAUACCACAUUAAUCAUAUUGUUUUAUUUUUAUCAUUACAUUAAAAAUCAAAUAGUAUCACUAGGUUUAUAAUGAAAAACAGCAGACCCUGUCCCAGCCCUCCACACUCUCAGUUUCUACUCCCUAGAUAUAAUCUCUAUUCACCCAGCUACCUCUUCUGGUAUUUAUCUCCGUAUUUCUAAAUAGCAUGCUUAUACUACUAAUUCUUAAUUUUUCAGUUUGGGCCAUUAUUUUACUUUUUCUAUAGGAAAUAAGAUAUGUGUUUAUACUCUGAAGACUGGUAAUACACACAUGUAUUUCUCCAUCUUCCAUCCUUCAGUUUAUCUAUAUCACCCUAUAUAGGUAGAGUACUAUUCAUUAUACUAUUAUAAAGGUAUGUAAUUGAUCCAGUUAGCAUAAUAUGAUUAUAUUUCCUUUAUUUUGAUUGAAGUUAACUAUUGCCUCUUUCUCCAUGCAACUUUCUUAAGUACCUAGCAUUCAAGUGUCUAUAAUCAAUUUAUUCCAAACUGUCCUUUCAAAACAUUGAAACACAUCAAGUAGUCUAUCAAUCAGUUUAUUUUUUAAAUUGGAGACAACUCUCUAGGAGCCCAUCAUCCUCCUUCACUGUGGACUAGUUUUUCUCUAAGCCUACUGCACAGCUUUUGUCCUGAAAUAAUUUUAUCCUUUCUACCCUGUUUUCCACUUCUUUUUGUUUUUCUGAAAGAUUUCCACCUUCCAGCUUUUCUUUUGAAUUUUAAAAUUUCUGUUAUGUUUUAAAUUUGCCAGAAUACUUUCUUGUCAACCUCUCUUUUAAUUAAAAAUAUUUUUUAUUUUUGUAAUUUAAAGGUUUAUUGUAAAUUGACAAGUACAAAUUGGAUAUAUUUAUGGGGUACAAAGUGAUGUUAUAUGUAUACAAUGUGGAAAGAUUAAAUCAAGCUAAUUAACAUAUCCAUCACUACAAAUACUUCUUUGUGGUGAGAAUACUUGACAUUUACCUUCAGCAAUUUUGAAAUAUACAGUACAUUAUUAUUAACCAUGCUAUACUCUUUAUCUCAAAAAAUGUAUUCCCUUUAUCUAACUGAAACUUCGUACUCUAACCAACAUCUCCUUGUUUCCCCUACCACCCCUUCCCCCUACUCUCUGAUAACCAUCAUUCUACUCUGAUUCUGUGAGUUUGUUUUAGAUUCUACAUUAGGAAUCAUGUGACUUUGUCUGUCUGUGCCUGGCUUAUUCCAUUCAGCAUAACGUCCUCCAGGGAAGCACUUUCUUGUCCACCCCCUUCCCCUUUUUAAAUAGCAGUCUGUUCCAUUUGGUGGAUGCAGUAUCUUAUUACUCUAAGAAUAUUGCUAAUGUUUUCUUUUGUUUCUUGAAUUGUCUGUGUUGAAUUUUUAAGGCUUGUUUCUGUUUUGUGUUGGAAGCUUUUCUUAAACGUCUAGAGAUCCUUGGCCAUCCAUUCAUAUGUAAGAGUGGGGCACUAGAAAGCCAAUAGAAAGUUCUGUGUACACUGGCCAGUGAGGUGGCUCACACCUGUAACCCCAGCACUUUGGAAGGCCAAGGCAGGCAGAUCACUUGAGGUCAGGAGUUCAAGACCAGCCUUGCCAACAUGGUGAAACCCCAUCUCUACUAAAAAUACAAAAAUUAGCCGGGCUGGUGGCGCACGCCUGUAAUCCUUGCUACUUGGGAGGCUGAGGCUUGAGAAUCUCUUGAACCCGGGAGGCAGAGGUUGCAGUGAGCUCUCCAGCCUAGGCAACAGACCAAAACUCUGUCUCAAAAAAAAAAAAAGUUCUGUGUACAUACUUAGGACUUGUAAUUGGUAGGACAUACUGCAGUAUUUUUCAAACUUCUGGUCGCAAACCCAUUAGUAGUUUGUGAAAUCAAUAUAAUCAGUUUUAUUUCCCCCAAAUGACAGAACAGAAUAGAAAACACCACCUCAGAAUACAUCUACAUAGAAAGAGAAUUAUUUUAUGAAACUUUGGUUUCUUACACAUAUCAUAUAUACAUAUUAUGUACUGGUUUGAUCCCAUAAAAUGGGAGUUUUUUUUUUUUAUUGUGGGUGUUUCUUCAAAGAAAUUUGAAAAAGUACAACUUAGGAUAAUCAAAGAGAUCUCCAACUGUCAGGACAGGUAGGUCUUUUCUCUUAGAGAGGUUAAGUUCCGGCCCAGUGCGGUGGCUCAUGCCUGUAAUCCCAGCACUUUGGGAGGCUGAGGCGGGCAGAUCAUGAGGUCGGGAGAUUGAGACCAUCCUGGCUAACAUGGUGAAACCUCAUCUCUUCUAAGAAUACAAAAAAUAAGUCAGGCAUGGUGGCACGCGCCUGUAAUCCCAGCUACUCGGGAGGCUGAGGCAGGAGAAUCAUUUGAACUCGGGAGGCGGAGAUUGCCACUGCACUCCAGCCUGGGCGACAGAGCAAGACUCCGUCUCAAAAAAAAAAAAAAAAAAACGGAGAUAAGUUCUCCUGGAGUAAAAUUCUCUAAACUUUUGCCUGCAUGCUAGUCUGAUAGACAGUACUCAUUCAUUCAGGUAUUGGUUGAGGACUUACUAUGUGCCAAACACUGUUCCAGGUUCUGGGUAUACAUCAGACAAAACUGUCUCCUGGGACUAGAUUCUAGUGAGGGAGAUAAACAGUGGGUUAUAUAGUAUUUAGAUCUUGCGCUAGGUAACACAGCAACAGAAGGGAAAGCUGAACAUAUGCAUAUAGAUGCUGGUAAGAGGGUGGAUGUGGUGGAUGAAUGAAGUAGAAAACAAGGUCAUCAUCUGAGAGUGAAAAUGGGGAGGAAGUGUUGGAAGAAAAGAGAAGGUGUGAAAUAAUUUAGGACACAGCACAGCAAACUAUAGCCUUUGGUCAAAUCCUAUUUUGGUGCAAUCCACAAGCUAAGGAUACUUUUUUACUUUUAAACGGUUGGGAAAAAAAUUUAAGAUGAUAUUACAUCAUAGCAUGUAACAAAUAAAUGCAAUUCAAAUUUCAUUUAUUUACAUAUUGCCUCUGGCUACUUUCAUGCUACAGUGACAAAGCUGAAUAAUUGCAAAAGAGACUAUGACCUGCUAUGCCAAAAAUAUUUAUCUGGCCCUUUACAGAAAAAGUUGGCUGACUCCUGAUCUAGGAGGAUGGGAAGGUAUAUAGAGUAGGGAAAUAUGAUUAUCAGGCAGCAUUAAGGCCUGAAGGUUAUGGACAUGAAUUUAAAGUAAGACUAAACAGCAUAGUUGCUGCACAGAAGUAGGUACAAAGGCAAAGAGCUGGCUUUAAAGUUGUGAUUUUGCAAACUGAAAAUGACAAAAAGGGGUAGACUAAGUUAAAAGUACAUGCAAGUUGCAUGAUUAUAAUGAGUGAUCCUGGGAUUUAAGUUGAUUAUGACAGGAACAGAAGGAACUUGGAGAUUAGGGACAAUGAAAAGGUGGUAGUGAAAGGAGUGUUGGAGUUAAGUUACUAGAUGUCUGGAAGACAGACUGUGGUGGUCAGAUAAUGAGAUAGAUUAUGGAGGGGUUACAGUUUUUGGUAAUAACGAGAGAGAUCUAAGGUAUGACUGAGAGUGAAUGGAUGAGAAUAGCAGAGAACAAGGUCAGUGGAAAACUACUCUUCAAAGAACCUAUAGUCAGGGUGUUGAAAGAUUAAAAAUUGCUAAGAAUUAAAUCAGGAGUAGUGCUGCGGGAAAUGAAAUGAGCAGUGAACUAAACUUACUGAGAAAUGAGAGGGGAUGACCCAGGGGUUUGUAGAUUUUGUAGAUGAUAGCAAUGAAGAGAAGAGAUAUUAUUUGAUGGUAUGGAACUCAAAGCUGAGAGUUUUAAGGGAAGAUAGGAGACGUGUCUAGAAGUAGUAAUGAGGAGCAAGAACAUCAUCUACCCCAUCUCCAGGACCAGUAAUAGGAGGACUGUGGGAGAAAAAAAUCACCUUGAGAGGGCUGUAGUGAAAGCAGUAUCCUAAGGUAGCAGCCAAGUUUCAGACUGCUGGGAUCCAAGCCAGGGAAAGGUUUCUGACUCUUUAGAAUGCUGAGCUUUAGGCUGGGCACAGUGGCUCACGCCUGUAAUCCCAGCACUCUGGGAGGCCAAGGUGGGCAGAUCACUUGAGUCCAGGAGUUCAAGACCAGCCCAGGCAACAUGGUGAAAUCCCAUCUCUACACAAAAUACAAAAAUUACCCAGGUUUGGUGGUUCAUGCCUGUAGUCCCAGCUACUCAAGAGACUGAGGUGGAGAAUCACUUGAGCCCAGGAGGUUGAGGCAGCAGCAAGCCAUGAUCACACCACUGUACUCCAGCCUGGGCAACAGAGUGAGACCCUGUCUCAAAAAAACAAACAGAAUGCUGAGUUUUAAAUCCCUAUAUUCAGUAGGAUGUCUCCCCUCAGCUCCCAGUUGUUGUUGGUGGCUUCAACUAGUUCAUCUUCCCCAGGAGAUAAUGAAUGAACAAAUGAAUGAAUGAAUGAAUGAGUUUAUAAGGGGCGAGGAUCUCAGGACUUCAUAGUCUUUCAAGUAAUCAUCUUGUUUUUAGCCCUCUACCUACUACCUCUUGCUUUUCAGAUAACUGAUGCCUCCAAUUCCUAAGCCUUUUCUGGGGUUCUGUGGUACAAACAUGCUUGCUUAUUGCUAGUAACACUCCACCAGCCCCUGCCCCAGACUUCUGCUUUCUCUGGUCUACUCAGUUUGUUCCUUGUUUUUUGCUUUCCGGAUUCAAAGAUUUUGUUGACAUUGCCUGGAUGCUGCCAUCUUUUGUCUCAUAUUCUUUGUCCUUAAUCAUUUAACAUUCCUUUACUGUCAUUUUAAUGGCAUUUCAGGAGGAAGCCAUGUUUCUAGUCCACCGUUCUUUUUUGUUGUUUUUGAGACAGAGUCUUACUCUGUCACCCAGGCUGGAGUGCAGUAGCAUGACCUCAGCUCACUGCAACCUCUGCCUCCCGGGUUCAAGCGAUCCUCCCACCUCAGCCUCCCGAGUAGCUGGGACCACAGGCAUGCGCCACUACAACUGGCUAAUUUUUGUAUUUGUAAGUAGAGAUGAGGUUUCUCCAUGUUGGCCAGGCUUGUCUUGAAUUCCUGGCCUCAAGUGAUCCACCCACCUCAGCCUUCUAAAGUGCUGGGAUUACAGGCAUGAGCCACCACACCGGGCCAAUCCACUGUUUUUUAAAAAGUUGUCAAGAGUUUUGUUAAGGGGUCAGACAUGUCUGACUGGUUGACUUUUCCCAGAAUGCUGCUUAGUCCCUCAAACACACAAAUUCCUGAUGGGUCCACCCACUAGGCUUCUGGUAUACACAGACAGAUCUGAAUCCCAGUGGUGGAAACAACCUAGGCUGAUUCUGAGUUUCCCACUGCAUUUCUUCUUCUAAUUGUCCCUCUUUUCCAUUCCUGUCCUUUCCCUCAUCCCUUACCUGCUGAAAAUGAAUCUUACCAUUUCUAAAAUUCCACUCUUCCGGGGGCAUCCACAGCUGGAUCCUCUUCUUCACUGCCAUUCCUCAGGCCUUAGAACAGGUCCCCUUCUUACACCCUUGUGCUCCAACUGGUCUUUAUGAAACCUGUUCACUUCAAUAUACUUUUAGGCCAGGCUCACGCCUGUAAUCCCAGCACCUUGAGAAGCUGAGGCCGGUGCAUCACUUGAGGUCAGGAGUUCGAGACCAGCCUGGCCAACAUGGUGAAACCCUAUCUCUACUAAAAAUACAAAUAUAUAUACAUAUGCCAGGCAUGGUGGCAUGUGCCUGUAGUCCCAGCUACUCAGGAGGCAGAGGCACGAGAAUCACUUGAAUCCAGGAGGCGGAGGUCGCAGUGAGCCGAGAUUGUGCCACUGCACUCCAGCUUGGGCAACAGAGCAAGACUCCGUCUCCAAAAUAUAUCUUAUCUAUAUAUAGAUAUAGAUAGGUAUAUAUAGAUCUAUAUAUAGAUAUAUACUUUCAAUUCUCCAAUUGUUCCCGUAUACCAUAGAGAAACUCUUAUGAGCUCAGUUUCUGCAGGACUUACAAAACAGGGUAAUUGCCUCCUCAUUAUGGUCAGCUCCAGCACCAUUCAAAUUCUCUGUCCUUACCCAUUUCCAGAACAAGCAGGAUGAAAAUCACUUAUCACUAUAGCACCCACCCUUAAGCACAAGGUUAUCCAAUGUUUUCAAGGAGUCCAGCAUUUCAUAACAGAACCCCCUGAUUAGUUUGCUAACUGAUGAAAGCAGAGUUAAAUUCCUGUUAUGCAGGUUUAGAGUACAGGAGAUUCUAUGUCCCCAUAUCCUCUGCCCCCCAAUCUAUCCCUUGGCAAACACAAGUACCUCUACUAGAAUAACCAUACUCCCUCUUCCCAACCCACUUCUCUUGUUUAAGGGCACUGGCAGUGUUUGUGUAUGUCAACAACAUCGGAGUAUCUGGGGUCCCUGGAGAGUUAGAUUUUCUGUAUUAAUUACAGACUGGGAGAUUACUCUGGCUCCAGUAAAAGCAAUACCAGGAUUGAAGUCCCCUCUCUGAUUAUGGUGGCUGGGAUUUGCUGGAAGAGGCAUAGGUCCAGAAAAGAAUGUAAAAAAGGUACUAGAAAGAAAGAAUAAGGCCUAUAGCCAUCAGGCUGCUAGAACCUUUGGACAAGUCACUAUCUAAAAGCAGGUAAAGACCCAGCUUUUUGUCCAUCUGGUCAGGCACCUGGUGGCGUGAGUCUUUCAGAACAUACUGGUCAGGCGGUGGCUCACGCCUGUAAUCUCAGCACUUUGGGAGGCUGAGGCAGGAGGAUCACUUGAGGUAAGGAGUUGGAGACCAGCCUGGCCAACAUGGUGAAACCCUGUCUCUACUAAAAAUACAAAAAUUAGCCAGGUGUGGUGGCGGGCAUAUGUAGUCCCAGCUACUUGGGAGGCUGAGGCAAGAGAAUCGCUUGAACCCAGGAGUCGGCAGUUGCAGUGAGCCGAGAUCACACCACUGCACUCCAGUCUGGAUGGUAAAGUGAGAACCCAUCUCAAAAAAAAAAAGGAACAUACCACAACCCUUCAAUAAAAAGGUCUCUGAGAAAACAGUUGUCACAAUGUCCAUGUACUUGUACUUGACACCAUGUGAGAAACAGCCUCCAGUAGGUCACUGGCCAGACAGGUGAGUAUGAAAUAGGACAACACUGUAUUAUAGCUCAGGAUGCAUUGAUAAUAGAAGUUUGAAGCAGCAGCUGACAGACGAGUCUAAGCAAUAACACACAGACUAGUUUGUCUCUGCUCUUGAGAACAGCAGCCUGCAACCCUUCAAACAAGCCAUAAUGUGUGAGUCAACAAGAAGCUACAUUUGAUUGACAAUGCCAUUUUAAUAAAGAUGUUCUAGAGUCAAAGAAUUUGGCGUGAGAAAUUGUGCCCAGGCUGGGGUGCAGUGGUGUGAUCAUAGCUCACUGCAGCCUCUGAGCUCCUGGGCUCAAGGGAUCCCCCUGCCUUAGCCUCUGAAGUAGCUGGGACUACAGGCAUGCACCACUGUGCCCAGCUAAUUUUUAAUUUUUUUGUAAAGAUAGGGUCUCAUUAUGUUUCCCAGGCUGGUCUCGAACUCCUGGCUUCAAGUGAUCCUCCCACCUUGGACUCCGAAAGUGCUGGGAUGUGCUCAAUAUUAAAUGUCAUGAAGAUACUGUUAAAAUAAUAAUUGUGCUCAAUAGUUGUAUCUUUAUACUAUUCUGAGCCUUAGGUUUCUUUUCUGUAAAACUGAACAAUACUACCUUCUUUGCAGGGGAUAGCAUAGUCCCUGGUUUACAGUAAAUGCUUUCCUCCAAUUGAAUCAAGAUAUACCUCUCUGCUACCUCCCCAUCUAUUAGAAAUGCUUGCCUUCUGGUACCAGAAAAAAAAAAAAAACACCUUCCACAUGACAACUCUGAAGACAAUAAUCACACUACCAUUGUGUUUUUCUGGAUGUGCCACACAUUGUAUACAUGUCCCUGCCUUACAAAUGACAUCUCCUAUACACAGAGUCCUUAAUAUUUCUACAUGCAAUGUAUAAUCAAUUAAAACAUCAGUAUCAUCUUAAUGUGAAUUUCUGUUAAUCCAAGUUCUCCCCCACUAUGCAAGUGCAAUAAAUAUUUAAAAAUGAAGGUAACAAUAUAUAUAUAUAUUUUUUUGAGACAGAGUCUCGCUCUGUUGUCCAGGCUGGAGUGCAGUGGCGUGAUCGCGGCUCACUGCAAGCUCCACCUCCCGAGUUCAUGCCAUUCUCCUGCAUCAGCCUCCUGAGUAGCUGGGACUACAGGUGCCCACCACCACUCCCAGCUAAUUUUUUGUAUUUUUAGUAGAGACAGGGUUUCACUGUGUUAGCCAGGAUGGUCUCCAUCUCCUGACCUUGUGAUACACCCCUCUCGGCCUCCCAAAGUGCUGGGAUUACAGGUGUGAGCCACCGUGCUUGGCCAACAAUAUAUAUUCUUAACUGUGUAAAUUUUAAUUUGUUGGUUUUAUUCUUUUGAGAUUAUUAUGAAUAUUGAUUCUGUCAUUCAUCGCUUAAGGACCAGGCAGGUGAACCACUUGACAUUUUUUAUCAUCAGAAUAAAUUGACAAAAACAAAACAAAAUACUUUGAGGUGGAAUGGAAGUAUCUUGAGUAGUAGUAAAACCAUAGUUCUAGAUGGUGAUAAUCAUUGUCAUAAUGAAAGCGUGUUGCUUGUUGACUAUUUAACCAUGCUGUUUAAGUCAUAUUAAAAACAUCAAUACGUCCCUCUCCCUCUCCCCUCUCCCCUCUCCCCUCUCCCCUCUCCCCUCUCCCCUCUCCCCCUUCCCACGGUCUCCUUCCACGGUCUCCCUCUGAUGCCGAGCCAAAGCUGGACGGUACUGCUGCCAUCUCGGCUCACUGCAACCUCCCUGCCUGAUUCUCCUGCCUCAGCCUGCCGAGUGCCUGCGAUUGCAGGCGCGCGCCGCCACGCCUGACUGGUUUUCGUUUUUUUUUUUUUUGGUGGAGACGGGGUUUUGCUGUGUUGGCCGGGCUGGUCUCCAGCUCCUAACCGCGAGUGAUCCGCCAGCCUCGGCCUCCCGAGGUGCCGGGAUUGCAGACGGAGUCUCGUUCACUCAGUGCUCAAUGGUGCCCAGGCUGGAGUGCAGUGGCGUGAUCUUGGCUCGCUACAACCUCCACCUCCCAGCCGCCUGCCUUGGCCCCCCAAAGUGCCGAGAUUGCAGCCUCUGCCCAGCCGCCACCCCGUCUGGGAAGUGAGGAGCGUCUCUGCCUGGCCCCCCAUCGUCUGGGAUAUGAGGAGCCUCUCUGCCUGGCUGCCCAGUCUGGAAAGUGAGGAGCGUCUCUGCCCGGCCGCCAUCCCAUCUAGGAAGCGAGGAGCGCCUCUUCCCCGCCGCCAUCCCAUCUAGGAAGUGAGGAGCGUCUCUGCCCGGCCGCCCAUCGUCUGAGAUGUGGGGAGCACCUCUGCCCCGCCGCCCUGUCUGGGAUGUGAGGAGCGCCUCUGCUGGGCCGCAACCCUGUCUGGGAGGUGAGGAGCGUCUCUGCCCGGCCUCCCCGUCUGAGAAGUGAGGAAACCCUCUGCCUGGCAACCGCCCCGUCUGAGAAGUGAGGAGCCCCUCCGUCCGGCAGCCACCCCGUCUGGGAAGUGAGGAGCGUCUCCGCCCGGCAGCCACCCCGACCGGGAGGGAGGUGGGGGGGGGGUCAGCCCCCCGCCCGGCCAGCCGCCCCGUCCGGGAGGUGAGGGGCUCCUCUGCCCGGCCGCCCCUACUGGGAAGUGAGGAGCCCCUCUGCCCGGCCAGCCGCCCCGUCCGGGAGGGAGGUGGGGGGGUCAGCCCCCCGCCCGGCCAGCCGCCCCGUCCGGGAGGUGAGGGGCUCCUCUGCCCGGCCGCCCCUACUGGGAAGUGAGGAGCCCCUCUGCCCGGCCAGCCGCCCCGUCCGGGAGGGAGGUGGGGGGAUCAGCCCCCCGCCUGGCCAGCCGCCCCGUCCGGGAGGUGAGGGGCGCCUCUGCCCGGCCGCCCCUACUGGGAAGUGAGGAGCCCCUCUGCCCGGCCAGCCGCCCCAUCCGGGAGGGAGGUGGGGGGGUCAGCCCCCCGCCCGGCCAGCCGCCCCAUCCGGGAGGGAGGUGGGGGGGUCAGCCCUCCGCCCGGCCAGCCGCCCCAUCCGGGAGGGAGGUGGGGGGGGUCAGCCCCCCGCCCGGCCAGCCGCCCCGUCCGGGAGGGAGGUGGGGGGAUCAGCCCCCCGCCUGGCCAGCCGCCCCGUCCGGGAGGUGAGGGGCGCCUCUGCCCGGCCGCCCCUACUGGGAAGUGAGGACCCCUCUGCCUGGCCAGCCGCCCCGUCCGGGAGGGUUGGGGGGGGGUCAGCCCCCCGCC
Molecule: long non-coding RNA, 13721 nt
Filed under: Homo sapiens (human)
Lineage: Eukaryota; Metazoa; Chordata; Mammalia; Primates; Hominidae
Description: non-protein coding TMEM9B-AS1:1
Source: RNAcentral